Molecule: unclassified non-coding RNA, 405 nt
Filed under: soil metagenome
Description: partial contains 5.8S ribosomal RNA, internal transcribed spacer 2, and large subunit ribosomal RNA
Rfam family: 5.8S ribosomal RNA (bases 1-121)
Source: RNAcentral
GAUGAAGAACGCAGCGAAAUGCGAUACGUAAUGUGAAUUGCAGAAUUCAGUGAAUCAUCGAGUCUUUGAACGCACCUUGCGCCCUUUGGCCAUUCCGAAGGGCAUGCCUGUUUGAGUAUCAUGAACACCUCAACUCUUUAUGGUUUUCCAUGAUGAGCUUGGACUCUGGGGGUUUUGCUGGCUCACAGUCGGCUCCUCUAAAAUGAAUCAGCUUACCAGUGUUUGGUGGGUAUCAUGGGUGUGAUAACUAUCUACGCUUGUGGUUUUUCCACCAGGUAACCUUCAGCAGUGGAGGUUCGCUGGAGCUCAUAGAUGUCUCUCCUCAGUGAGGACAGCCCUUUGAAUGUUUGAUCUCAAAUCAGGUAGGACUACCCGCUGAACUUAAGCAUAUCAAUAAGCGGAGGA